CAGCCGCCGCGGUAAAACGGAGGGUGCAAGCGUUAAUCGGAAUUACUGGGCGUAAAGCGCACGCAGGCGGUUUGUUAAGUCAGAUGUGAAAUCCCCGGGCUCAACCUGGGAACUGCAUUUGAAACUGGCAAGCUAGAGUCUCGUAGAGGGGGGUGGAAUUCCAGGUGUAGCGGUGAAAUGCGUAGAGAUCUGGAGGAAUACCGGUGGCGAAGGCGGCCCCCUGGACAAAGACUGACGCUCAGGUGCGAAAGCGUGUGGAGCAAACAGGAUUAGAUUCCCCAGUAGUCCCUGUCUCUUAUAC
Molecule: ribosomal RNA, 301 nt
Filed under: uncultured bacterium
Lineage: Bacteria
Description: partial 16S ribosomal RNA
Rfam family: Bacterial small subunit ribosomal RNA
Source: RNAcentral